Long non-coding RNA from Myodes glareolus (Bank vole), 397 nucleotides. RefSeq lists it as uncharacterized. The record is from RefSeq and is a predicted model, not a curated record. Lineage: Eukaryota; Metazoa; Chordata; Mammalia; Rodentia; Cricetidae.
UGAGGUCGCUCCCAGAAAGAUCCACUGCCUCUGACUUGGUCGCAAGAACAACAGGAGCAGCAACCUGGCUCGUGCAAAUGUGCUGUCCUUAUGUCUCGUGAUACCAGCUGUUUCACAGCACCAAGUGAUCUGUAGGGCUUUCACUUAGCCUGUGCUAGGUUUGCCUUUACUGCCGCUACAACACAGUUCAUACACGUCAAAGGCCAGUGAGAUGCUCGACCAGGAAAGUGCUCGCCAUGCAAGCCUCACGACCUGAGUUCAAGCUCCAUGUUGCUGAACUUUCUUUGACUCUAGCCUCAUGCUGGAACACCAAAAUGUCAUUGCUUUUUAUUCGUUUACUCUUUGGGAGGCCUGCUAACCAGUUCCCAAAUAAAUCACACAUGGGGUCUUAUUCUUA